CAACUUGAGAGUUUGAUCCUGGCUCAGAACGAACGCUGGCGGCAGGCCUAACACAUGCAAGUCGAGCGAACCCUUCGGGGUUAGCGGCGGACGGGUUAGUAACGCGUGGGAAUAUGCCCAAAGGUACGGAAUAGCCUCGGGAAACUGAGAGUAAUACCGUAUGUGCCCUUCGGGGGAAAGAUUUAUCGCCUUUGGAUUAGCCCGCGUUGGAUUAGGUAGUUGGUGGGGUAAUGGCCUACCAAGCCGACGAUCCAUAGCUGGUUUGAGAGGAUGAUCAGCAACACUGGGACUGAGACACGGCCCAGACUCCUACGGGAGGCAGCAGUGGGGAAUCUUAGACAAUGGGGGAAACCCUGAUCUAGCCAUGCCGCGUGAGUGA
This 379-nucleotide ribosomal RNA is filed under the name Paracoccaceae bacterium. RNAcentral's name for it is "bacterial SSU rRNA". It matches the Rfam family "Bacterial small subunit ribosomal RNA", at positions 1 to 408 of the family's 1533-position model. The record is from RNAcentral. Lineage: Bacteria; Pseudomonadati; Pseudomonadota; Alphaproteobacteria; Rhodobacterales; Paracoccaceae.